RNAcentral lists this long non-coding RNA (898 nucleotides) under Homo sapiens (human). Its description in RNAcentral is "non-protein coding LINC02413:12". The record is from RNAcentral. Lineage: Eukaryota; Metazoa; Chordata; Mammalia; Primates; Hominidae.
AAUCUUGCUCUGUCACCCAGGCUAGAGUGCAGCGGCAUGAUCUUGGCUCACUGCAACCUCCGCCUCCUGGGUUCAAGCGAUUCUUCUGCCUCAGUCUCCCAAGUAGCUGGGACUACAGUGAGCACAGGGAGGAGGAGGUGCAUGCAAGCGAUACUGCAGGGCCAGAAUCAGAAUCAUCAGCACGUAGCAACUGAUUGGAUUUCUGGAGCAAGAAAGAAGAGUUGAAGAUAAUGUUGAACUUUCUCAUUGGGAGAUUUUACUAACAUUAUUGAGCAAUUACUGCAUGAUGGAUGUUACGCUAAGAGCAUUCUACAAUUAUUAUACCUCUUACGUCUCCCAGUAGUUCUGUUAAGCACUGAAUACUGUGGAUACAAAGAGCCCAGAGUCAUCAAGAGGAACCAGGAACUCUAACAUGAUGUGUGGAGCAGGCUAUGCAAAGAGGGGUACCUCUCCCAGUCAGAGGCAUCAGAGAAGGCUUCCUGGUGGAGAACGUGUGUGAUGGACUUAUGGACUCAUUCACUGCAUCGAUCUUGGGCACUGCCCAGCUUCAUGUUCCACUCUCCCGUUUAUCCCAAAUUGCUGAGGAUUUCCUAAGAACCAUCACUUUCCAGAGCUCAUUAUUUUCUGUUAUUUGCCUCAGCAGCACAAGCUGUUUUCACAAAGAAAUAAAGGGUCUUCUAUUCCAGAAGAGUUCUUCUAUGCAUGUAGGUGAGCAGACAGUGCAGAGCCAUGCUGAGGUGUGUGUGCCUUGCUGUCACUGUCUCUCCUCCGGGAGGAACACUAGGCUCCUGUACACCAGGCUUCCCACAGCCCAGGAGGAACACAUCCACGCCUUGCCAGUCAUUUGCAUCUUAGUAAGACUAAAACUAAUAAAACUAACAAUAAAACUUAAAAUAGA